This 73-nucleotide transfer RNA is filed under the name uncultured archaeon. RNAcentral describes it as "tRNA (AA: Gln, Cod: TTG)". The record is from RNAcentral.
UAGCCCCGGGCGGAUUUGAACCGCCGUCGCAGGUUCCAAGGACCUGCAGGCUUGACCGCUACCCUACGGGGCU